UACGAAGGGGGCUAGCGUUGUUCGGAAUUACUGGGCGUAAAGCGCACGUAGGCGGAUCGAUCAGCCAGGGGUGAAAUCCCAGGGCUCAACCCUGGAACUGCCUUUGAUACUGUCGAUCUGGAGUAUGGAAGAGGUGAGUGGAAUUCCGAGUGUAGAGGUGAAAUUCGUAGAUAUUCGGAGGAACACCAGUGGCGAAGGCGGCUCACUGGUCCAUUACUGACGCUGAGGUGCGAAAGCGUGGGGAGCAAACAGG
Molecule: ribosomal RNA, 253 nt
Filed under: uncultured bacterium
Lineage: Bacteria
Description: partial 16S ribosomal RNA
Rfam family: Bacterial small subunit ribosomal RNA
Source: RNAcentral